GAUGAAGAACGUAGCGAAAUGCGGUAAGUAGUGUGAAUUGCAGAAUUCAGUGAAUCAUCGAAUCUUUGAACGCACAUUGCGCCCUUUGGUAUUCCAAAGGGCAUGCCUGUUCGAGCGUCAUUUGUACCCUCAAGCUUUGCUUGGUGUUGAGCGUCUUGUCUCUAGCUUUGCUGGAGACUCGCCUUAAAGUAAUUGGCAGCCGGCCUACUGGUUUCGGAGCGCAGCACAAGUCGCACUCUCUAUCAGCAAAGGUCUAGCAUCCAUUAAGCCUUUUUUUUCAACUUUUGACCUCGGAUCAGGUAGGGAUACCCGCUGAACUUAAGCAUAUCAAUAAGCGGAGGA
This 342-nucleotide unclassified non-coding RNA is filed under the name soil metagenome. RNAcentral's name for it is "partial contains 5.8S ribosomal RNA, internal transcribed spacer 2, and large subunit ribosomal RNA". The stretch from base 1 to 120 matches the Rfam family "5.8S ribosomal RNA", at positions 35 to 154 of the family's 154-position model. The record is from RNAcentral.